Molecule: long non-coding RNA, 5577 nt
Filed under: Panax ginseng (ginseng)
Lineage: Eukaryota; Viridiplantae; Streptophyta; Magnoliopsida; Apiales; Araliaceae
Description: long non-coding RNA (PGIN_LNC005168)
Source: RNAcentral
UCAUUAUUCCAGUAUUCACAUCCCAAUUCCUUCACGGUCUUGCCUCUAUUCGUCUCUCGUCUCAUCCUCUCCACCUCUCUCUCCGUCUCAGUCUCCGGCCUCCGCCUCUCACGAUCUCACCUCGACAACUAUGUUCUUCAAUCUCGACGGCCCGACCUCUCUUCCGAGUUCCAACGUCAGGUAAAUAUAUAUGGCAUACUACUAAUGUUCAAUCCCUUCCUCACACUUACGGAUCUGGAAACAGGACAUGUAAAUUAAUGUAAAUCUAGAAACAUGACGCCUUUCCUUGGAUCAAGUUGGUGAUUUUUGAAACUGGGUCUUUAUUAUUUCUUUCAAUUUUGGUGCAUAAAUGGUUGCCCGGUUAAACAAUUUGAAGAAACCGGCGCACUUAUGACUUUCUGUUGUUGAUUGUAAUUUGUAAUGUUGUAACCUGUUUAGUGUUAAGGUAACUGUUAAUUAUGGAAGCCUUUUAUUUCAGUUAUUCGGUUAUUAGCUAAUUCGAUUAACAAUUCGGAUACUAAAAAUGCGUUAAUUUCGAUUUUCAGCUAUAACCGAAUAGUUUAUUCGGUUCGGUUUGGUUAUAACCGAAUGCUCACUCCUAAUUACAAUUGUAUUAAUCAUUUAAGAUCAAGUUUACUAGCUUUAUCAAUAUUCGUGAUAUUAUAGAUUCAGUUCGACUCGAUUUACACUUCUAUGAGUGCAUUUUAAGCAAACAAAUUUCUUCUCACUUUUGAGAAGAAAGUUAAAGAAAAGAAAAUAAAACAUUCUCUUCUCUUCUCUUUUUUUUUUCUUUAAUUGAAAAACUCUCAGCCACUAUGUUAUUUUGUUAAGAAAAGAAGCUAAGGAAAAUCUAUUCGAAUAUCUCCAAUUCUUAUAUUUGUGAGUUUUUUAAGAAAGAACGAAAGAGAUUUUGAAAUAAAAUUAAUUUUAUUGUUGAGUUAAAACCUUCACCGAAAAGGUAGAGGAUUUAGAAAGACGAUUACAUAUUUUACAUUACCAAAAAUAAUAUUUAAAAUAUUAAAUAAUAGAAAUUGAUAUUUUUAUAAAUUUUUUUUGAUAUUGUCAACAUAUUAAUCAUUAAAAAUUCAACACAUCAACUAAUAAUUAUAUAUGUAAAAAUAUAAAAAAUGACGUAGAAAUAUCAAUUUCCUUAAAUAAUAUACCAUUGUUCUCUCCUCUUCACUCUGUUGAGUUCUACCGUGCUUGCUCCGCCGUUCGCUUGUCUGCCAUUAAUUUUCCGGUUUGCUGUUUUUUUGUUGAAAUCUCUGGUAAGAUCCCCAAAUCAUGUACCCUAAUUUUUUCAAAUUGAUAACUCAAAUUUGUUUUAAUCAAAUUUUAUCCUCUACUCGUUCAUCUUUAUUCAUUACCUUGUUUUCAUGAAUAUGGAUCCUCAAUAUUGUGAGGUAAAUGAAUUGAUAGCUUUUCUGAGAUUCUUUUUCCUAUGAUGGUAGUUGGGGGUUUUAGUCCUUUCGGGGUUCCAUAGAUUAAUACUCUCUGUAGAAUCCAGUAGCUAGAAAUAGUUUUACUGUCUGUGUCCUUGGAUCUAUCUCUAUUUUUGUGUUGAAUGUGGAGUUUGUGUGAAAUGUGGGAUCAUUCAAUCUCUCUCUUUUUAAUUUGUUUUCCUGUUGUGAAGGUGCAAUUAUGAAGCAGAGUCUGUGAUGUAUUGAAGCCCACCAUUAACUAUUAGCUUUAUUUUUGUUAUGAUAAAUUCAAAAAGUCAUUGUCCCAAAGUUAUUUGGUUUCACAAAUUAACUGACAAAUUAACUUUUAGCCAAAUUAACUGUCACAAAGAAAAUGACAUAGCCUUCUAUGGAAUUGGAGGAGUAUUCCGGGUAUCAAUUGUUAGAAAGUUAGGUUGGUUAUUUUUUUUUUCUUAGUUACAAUAGUGGUAUAGGGAUUCUUAUAACUAGCAUAAUAUACAAAUAGUACUAUAGUAAAUAUACUGCUGCUGCUUUCUAAAGUGAAGUUGUCCAAAAGUAUUAAAUGGGUAUGCUACAAAUAAUGUGAGCUUUUUUUGGUGUCCCUAUGGGAGUAUUCUGUAGUCAAAGUUGAUUAUAAAGUAUUUAAUAGUCAAUUUAUUUUGUACCAUUUAUUUUUCAUAGAUGUAAUUUAGAAAAAAGAAAAAAAAUCUUCAUACGCACAUUUAUGGUACACAAGACGAUAUUUUUGAGAAGGGAUGUUAUCCUCUUGACUAUUUGAUAAUUGAUAUUUCAUGUGCGUGUGCAUGUUAGAUAUGAUGUAGUAUUCUCGACUCAAUAAUAACACCUCUUGUCUAGUUCAAUGCGGGUGGCAUGUGGUACGAGGAUGUGGGGUGGGGGAGAAGGAAAAGUGAAUGGUGAAUAUAGGUUGGUUUUCCCUAAAUUAGGGCAUGUUAGGACAAGGCCUCCUCCCCCCAAAACAGGGUCACUCAUUGACAAAUGUGACCUGUCUUUGUUGUAUUCGAGUCCUGGACCAAGAGCUACUAGCUACCUUACCUGUCAUUAUUACUAAUAGUAGUAUUUAUUUUUGGCGGUGGCAGAAAUCUAUGUAUUUUGAAAGGUUUUCAUUUUCAUCAGUCACCCUCAUCUAAUCUAAUCUAAUCUAAUCUAAUCUAAUCAAUUUCAUCAUUAUUCAUUCAUUCAUGUCAUUAUUACUAAUAUAUAUAUAUAUAUAUAUAUAUAUGAUAAUCAAAUGCAUUUGAACUCUUGUAAAACCUUGUGUAUUAUAAUUAUAAUGACAUUCUUCUGUCUUGCAGACAACUUGGUAUUCUUAAAAUUGAUAGCAUAACCCAUAAAGAGGAUUAUAAUUUGAUGUAGGUAUGAGCAGAACAUUAUGUUUCUGGUCUUCGUCAUAAUUUGAUGCAGCUCUUGUCCUUCUGUUAGAAUUUUUUUUUGUGGGAGCAAAAAUAUUUGACUAUUAGAUGACCUUUUUCGUAUUGGACAGAGAAUUUAUUGUAGUCAUAAUUAGAGAAGUUAUUACUCUUCUUACGCACUAUUAUUUAGGGUUUUAUUAGGGUUCUUUUAAAUACUUAUUGUGUAAUAUAUCUACCAACCUUGUGAAUUUCUUCCUUUCUUUCUUUUUCACACCCACCCCACUCAGACUUGGAUAGAGAAAUUUCUCAGUAGUUUGAGUUUGACCCUUCUGAUCCAUUCUAUUUGUUGUUGUUGUUGUUGAGGAGGAGGAGGCAGAGGCAAGUACUACUAGCCUAGAUAUUAGGUAAUGUCACAUCACAAUUUCGUCCUUAUAUAUACACUGUAUUUUACUUGCUUUCUUUCUUUAAUUUGUUUGUGUACCUACCCGCACAGAAUACAAAUCGAUAUAAGUAUAUGUGAAAGAUGCCAUCUUUAUCUUUUCCCUCUUCAUUCAUUUCAUUUCGUUUGCAGAUUUCCAGGAUUUGAUAUACUCCUUUCUAACUAUAUAGAAGAAGGAGAAGAAGAAUGGCUCAGCUUUGUUGCUCUCCUCUCCCCAAUCACUACCACCAUCUCAACCCAAAUCGCGCCAUUUCCCCUCUUCCUGAUUAUAACAAUCUCACUUUCUCUUCCUUCUCCCUACCCUUCUUUGCUCCAUCUCUCUCCAUCUCUCCUUUUCCAACUAAUCCAUUCAACUUGCCCAAAUCCCAUAUUCCUUGAUAGACUCCACGGCACGCUUGCGUGAGGUGGUUGUUGCCCGGAUCGUUUCUAGCACAGUUGUUGGGUGAAUUGCUUGCAAUAUCUUAACCCCUCGUCUAUACUUUAGACGGUAAUCUUGGUACAAUUGCUCGCGUUCGGAAUCUGCGUUUAAUGGACAUCAACAACACCUUGACCCCUCGCUUAUAUUGAAGCGGUAAUCUCGAUACAAUCGACGAUUGAUGCGGUAGAAGACGCCACACACAACUAUGAACUGUUGUAUGAUAAGUCAAAUUGAAUCUCAAAGAAAUUACUAAGAAAAUACUAUUUUCUUAGGAAUUCUUCAAAGAACCAAAAGUAGAGAAUAAACUCACAAAUAUAUUGAAGAAUGAAUAAUGUGUUUGAUUACAUCAACUUAGACCUCUAUUUAUACUACUCAAAACGAUUCAAAUCCUAAUAGGAAUUUAUAAACUAUAACCCUAAUAGAAGUCAAUUUGGAAAAGAAUUCUAAUUAAAAAAAGAAGUCCUAAUUACAAUAGAAUUAUAAAAAUCUAAAAAUCAUUGCUGAAUAUGUAAUUCGUGGGCUUAGUAAGAGCAGAAUUGGGCUUGUAUUAAAUUGACCCAAAUUUGUGUCUCAUCCUUCUCUUUGGGUUUCCUUGUGUUAGCUUCAGCCCAAACAUCUUGGAUCAAUCCAUUGAGAUCUUGUUUGAACCUUUUAGUUCUAGCCUUCCUUGAUCCCCACGUCCCUUUAGUCUUGUUUGGGUCCAUGCAUGCCAUGUCCUCAUCAUUCCUCUCCUCUUGAAAAGGAUUUGUCCUCAAAUUGUCACCUACAUCAAACGGACUUAGAUCAGUAACGUUAAAUGUGGUACUAACAUUAUACUCAACUGGCAAAUCCAAUUUAUAGGCAUUGUCAUUGAUACGCUUGAGAACUUGAAAUGGACCAUCUCCCCUCGGAAGCAAUUUCGAACGUCUUUGAACGGGGAAUCUUUCUUUCCGUAUAUGUAACCACACCCAAUCUCCGGGUUCAAAGAUCACUUGAUGUCGUCCCUUGUUCGCGUGCUUAAUGUACUGUUCCGUCCUCCGUUCAAUCCGUUCACAAAUAUCGAAUCAUGAUCAUGCUUAGACCUAGGUAAACCCAACACAAAGUCCAUAGAAAGAUCAAUCCAAGGUUCAUUAGGAAUAGGCAAUGGUGUAUACAAUCCAUAGGGUUGAACACAAGAUUUAGCUUGGCGACAAGUAGUUAUCACAUAUUCUUUCCACAUCUCGUUUCAUAUGAGGCCAAUAAAAAUGUUCUUUCAAAAUAGUAAAAGUUUUAUCAACGCCAAAAUGUCCCAUUAAACCACCCCCAUGUGAUUCCCUAACCAACAACUCACGCAAAGAACAUGCAAGAAUACAUAAUUUAUUUUCACGAAACAAGAAUCCGUCAAUUCUAAAGUAUUUACCCACAACAUUCUUUUCACAAAUUUUAAACUCUUCACCGAAAUCAAGGUCAUUAUCAUAUAACUCUUUAAUUCGUUCAAACCCAAUCAAUUUCGUAUCAAGAGUAUUUAACAAAACAUACCUGCGAGACAAAGCAUCUGCAACGACGUUCUCCUUACCUUGCUUAUAUCGAAUAACAUAUGGAAAUGUCUCGAUAAAUUCCAUCUAUCGUGCAUGCCUUUUGUUCAACUUGUGCUGACCCUUAAAUUUUUCAAUGAUUCAUGAUCGGUGUCAGUGGAUCACAAACUCCUUAGGCCACAAGUAAUGUUGCCAUGUCUCCAAAGCUCUAACCAAAGCGUACAUCUCUUUGUCAUAUGUAGGAUAGUUCAAAGCUGCCCCACUCAACUUUUCGCUAAAAUACGCCACUGGUUUCCCUUCUUGCAUCAACACAGCUCCAAUCCCUAAACCUGAAGCAUCACACUCAAUCUCAAAAGUUUUAGCAAAGUUAGGCAAAAUAAGUAAAGGAGCAUUUGUCAAUUUAUCCUUAAUCAAAUUAAAUGCUUUUUCCUGUUCA